This 387-nucleotide ribosomal RNA is filed under the name uncultured bacterium. RNAcentral's name for it is "bacterial SSU rRNA". It matches the Rfam family "Bacterial small subunit ribosomal RNA", at positions 32 to 410 of the family's 1533-position model. The record is from RNAcentral.
AAUCAACGCUGGCGGCGUGCCUCAGACAUGCAAGUCGAACGCGAAAGUCCCCGUUCGGGGGAUGAUUAGAGUGGCGCACGGGUGAGUAACACGUAGGUAAUCUACCUUCGAGUGGGGAAUAACUCAGGGAAACUUGAGCUAAUACCGCAUAAUGCAGCGGCACCACAUGGUGACAGUUGUUAAAGCAUUUAUGCGCUUGAAGAGGAGCCUGCGGCGGAUAGCUAGUUGGUAAGGUAAUGGCUUACCAAGGCUACGAUCUGUAACCGGCCUGAGAGGGCGGACGGUCACACUGACACUGAAUAACGGGUCAGACUCCUACGGGAGGCAGCAGUCGGGAAUUUUGGGCAAUGGGCGAAAGCCUGACCCAGCAACGCCGCGUGAAGGAUG